This 245-nucleotide ribosomal RNA is filed under the name uncultured bacterium. RNAcentral describes it as "partial 16S ribosomal RNA". It matches the Rfam family "Bacterial small subunit ribosomal RNA", at positions 524 to 768 of the family's 1533-position model. The record is from RNAcentral.
UACGUAGGGUGCGAGCGUUAAUCGGAAUUACUGGGCGUAAAGCGUGCGCAGGCGGUUUUGUAAGCCAGAUGUGAAAUCCCCGGGCUCAACCUGGGAAUGGCAUUUGGGACUGCAAGGCUGGAGUGCGGCAGAGGAGACUGGAAUUCCUGGUGUAGCAGUGAAAUGCGUAGAUAUCAGGAGGAAUACCGAUGGCGAAGGCAGGUCUCUGGGCUGACACUGACGCUCAUGCACGAAAGCGUGGGGAG